This 1757-nucleotide ribosomal RNA is filed under the name Salmonella enterica subsp. enterica serovar Agona str. SA-4. Its description in RNAcentral is "bacterial LSU rRNA". It matches the Rfam family "Bacterial large subunit ribosomal RNA", at positions 1 to 1715 of the family's 2925-position model. Lineage: Bacteria; Pseudomonadati; Pseudomonadota; Gammaproteobacteria; Enterobacterales; Enterobacteriaceae. The record is from RNAcentral.
GGUUAAGCGACUAAGCGUACACGGUGGAUGCCCUGGCAGUCAGAGGCGAUGAAGGGCGUGCUAAUCUGCGAUAAGCGCCGGUAAGGUGAUAUGAACCGUUAUAACCGGCGAUACCCGAAUGGGGAAACCCAGUGUGACUCGUCACACCUAUCAUUAACUGAAUCCAUAGGUUAAUGAGGCGAACCGGGGGAACUGAAACAUCUAAGUACCCCGAGGAAAGAAAUCAACCGAGAUUCCCCCAGUAGCGGCGAGCGAACGGGGAGGAGCCCAGAGCCUGAAUCAGCAUGUGUGUUAGUGGAAGCGUCUGGAAAGGCGCGCGAUACAGGGUGACAGCCCCGUACACAAAAGCGCAUGUGCUGUGAGCUCGAUGAGUAGGGCGGGACACGUGGUAUCCUGUCUGAAUAUGGGGGGACCAUCCUCCAAGGCUAAAUACUCCUGACUGACCGAUAGUGAACCAGUACCGUGAGGGAAAGGCGAAAAGAACCCCGGCGAGGGGAGUGAAAAAGAACCUGAAACCGUGUACGUACAAGCAGUGGGAGCACAGGUUUACCUGUGUGACUGCGUACCUUUUGUAUAAUGGGUCAGCGACUUAUAUUCUGUAGCAAGGUUAACCGCAUAGGGGAGCCGGAGGGAAACCGAGUCUUAAUUGGGCGUUAAGUUGCAGGGUAUAGACCCGAAACCCGGUGAUCUAGCCAUGGGCAGGUUGAAGGUUGGGUAACACUAACUGGAGGACCGAACCGACUAAUGUUGAAAAAUUAGCGGAUGACCUGUGGCUGGGGGUGAAAGGCCAAUCAAACCGGGAGAUAGCUGGUUCUCCCCGAAAGCUAUUUAGGUAGCGCCUCGUGAAUUCAUCUCCGGGGGUAGAGCACUGUUUCGGCUAGGGGGCCAUCCCGGCUUACCAACCCGAUGCAAACUGCGAAUACCGGAGAAUGUUAUCACGGGAGACACACGGCGGGUGCUAACGUCCGUCGUGAAGAGGGAAACAACCCAGACCGCCAGCUAAGGUCCCAAAGUCAUGGUUAAGUGGGAAACGAUGUGGGAAGGCCCAGACAGCCAGGAUGUUGGCUUAGAAGCAGCCAUCAUUUAAAGAAAGCGUAAUAGCUCACUGGUCGAGUCGGCCUGCGCGGAAGAUGUAACGGGGCUAAACCAUGCACCGAAGCUGCGGCAGCGAACGUAUCACUUAAAGCGAUUCAGCGGGUUACGAUUGACGGAGCGAAGCGACGUCAAAGCGUAUACAAAGUCGAGUCGGUUUAAGGAUACGUUCGUUGGGUAGGGGAGCGUUCUGUAAGCCUGCGAAGGUGGCCUGUGAGGGUUGCUGGAGGUAUCAGAAGUGCGAAUGCUGACAUAAGUAACGAUAAAGCGGGUGAAAAGCCCGCUCGCCGGAAGACCAAGGGUUCCUGUCCAACGUUAAUCGGGGCAGGGUGAGUCGACCCCUAAGGCGAGGCCGAAAGGCGUAGUCGAUGGGAAACGGGUUAAUAUUCCCGUACUUGGUGUUACUGCGAAGGGGGGACGGAGAAGGCUAUGUUGGCCGGGCGACGGUUGUCCCGGUUUAAGCGUGUAGGUGUGUGUUCCAGGUAAAUCCGGUUCACUUUAACACUGAGGCGUGAUGACGAGGCACUACGGUGCUGAAGCAACAAAUGCCCUGCUUCCAGGAAAAGCCUCUAAGCAUCAGGUAACAUCAAAUCGUACCCCAAACCGACACAGGUGGUCAGGUAGAGAAUACCAAGGCGCUUGAGAGAACUCGGGUGAAGGAACUA